GCCAGCGCGGCGGCCUCCGUACGGCGGGAUGGUGGCGGUGCCGCGUUCCGGGGGGCGGCGGCGGCCCGGAGCCGUCUUGCUGCGGCUGCUGGCGAUGCUGCUGCUGGCGGGCACGGCGGGCGCCGGGCAGCGCUCCAAAUGGCGGCUCCCGGUGCUCCUGGGGAAGAAGUUUAGCUUUGGGAAGAUUCUCUUCAGCAACACCACCAUUUUCCUGAGAUUUGAAGGAGAUGAAAAAGCUUGUGAAUCCUCCCAGGGUUUCAAUGUGACUUGGUACUUAAGAUACUCUGACUGCUACAAUGAAGUCUUCAACUUUGGGGAUGAACAAGCAGAUAACUAUUUUGGGACUACAGCUGAAGAGCAUCCGGGUUGGUCAGGAUACUAUGCCACUUCUUCUCUCUUCUUUUCAAACUGCUCUGAGCUCUUCAGGCCUCAGAUUUUCUAUAAAGAAUUUUUUCGUCCAAAGCCUCUCUCACCUGAGAAACAAGAGGGCUUUAAAGAUAAGAAGGAGAGUGCAGGAAAUGACACAAUGGUGACAGAUAAAACUGCAAUGAAUGCUGUUAUCAAAACUUGGCGAGAUGGGCCAUAUAUAUUUAUUGUGCAAAUUGCACUUAAAACUGCAAAGGUUUCUACUGCCGGGCUUAAAAGAACUGAGAGAACAACGCCUUCCUCAUAUCAGAACAAGCUCUUUACAAUGACAGUAGAACUGAAGGGGCCGUAUGAGUAUCUUUCACUUGCAGACUACCCUCUGAUGAUUUUUUUCAUGGUGAUGUGUAUUGUGUACGUAUUCUUCGGGGUUCUGUGGCUUGCGUGGUCAGCCUGUUACUGGCGGGAUCUCCUGAGGAUCCAGUUCUGGAUUGGUGCUGUUAUCUUCUUGGGAAUGCUUGAGAAAGCCGUUUUCUAUGCCGAGUUCCAGAACAUCCGCUACACGGGCGAGUCCGUUCAAGGAGCAGUAAUACUGGCAGAACUUCUUUCUGCUGUGAAGCGCUCCUUGGCUCGAACUCUGGUCAUCAUAGUCAGCCUGGGAUAUGGGAUAGUCAAACCUCGCCUUGGAGUGACUCUUCACAAAGUAGUUAUGGCUGGAGCCCUUUAUCUGUUAUUUUCUGGCAUGGAAGGUGUUCUUAGAGUCACAGGGGCCCAGAAUGAUCUUGCCUCCUUGGCUUUUAUUCCCCUGGCUUUCCUAGAUACUGCCCUGUGCUGGUGGAUAUUCAUCAGCUUAACUCAAACAAUGAAGCUGCUAAAACUUCGAAGGAAUGUUGUGAAACUCUCUUUGUAUCGGCACUUCACCAACACACUCAUCUUGGCAGUAGCAGCAUCCAUUGUAUUCAUCAUCUGGACAACCAUGAAGUUCAGGCUGGUGGACUGUCAGUCGGACUGGCAAGAGCUAUGGGUGGAUGAUGCCAUCUGGCGUUUAUUGUUUUCAAUGAUCCUUUUUGUCAUCAUGAUUCUGUGGAGACCAUCUGCUAACAACCAAAGGUUUGCUUUCUCACCACUGUCAGAAGAGGAGGAUGAUGAUGAGCAGAAAGAGCCAAUGUUAAAAGAAAGCUUUGAGGGAAUGAAAAUGAGAAGUACAAAGCAAGAACCAAAUGGCAAUGUAAAAGCAAACAAAGUUCAGGAGGAUGACCUGAAGUGGGUAGAGGAGAAUGUUCCUUCAUCAGUGACAGAUGUGGCUCUUCCAGCUCUUCUGGAUUCAGAUGAGGUCAGUAAAGAAAUCUUCAGUUCAAAUUAGCCUUCUAACAUGCCAGGGAGUCAUGAGUCAGUUGAUAAGGUCUUGGCUUAUCAGAACUGGACACUGCUCAAGUCAACAGAACAGUAAAAUACUACAAGAGGGGAAGGAUAGUGGGAACAACCAUGAUACAACUUCUUAAAGUACAAAUGUGUUCUAAAAUGAGUGGUGUAUCUGGAAAGAAUGAUUACCCACUUUGAAAGGUCCAAAAUGGAAUGAAGGAGUAACUUUUUGCUCUUGGACGUGGAGACACCUCUUUUAAAGUUGCUUGGUGGAGCAAGUUCAUCCUGCUGAUUUGUCUCUUGAUCUCAGCCUUGAAAGUUUGAUGCUUUAAUGUCAUGGAGGGUGUCUUGCUGUGGAAGAAGUUCACAAGGACAUUAUAAACCUUUUGGAAAUUUGAAUUUAAAGUUGCUGCAAGUUUGGAUUUUUAAGCAAUUGACGUGUACUAUUCCAGCACCUUCUGUAACUUUUCAAAUAUUUAAUCUGUGAAACUAAAAUUCCUAAUGUCUGCUUGAGGAGUUUAUAUUUUGAUGUUACAAUUGACACUUAGAGGUGAACUGCCUGUACCUUUUUGGGGGGAGGGUGGGGACAGAUAGAAAUAAGCACUGAAGAAACAACAGACCCAUUUUCUGGUAGAUAACAGCUGCUGUUGUAUGUCAUGUGUUCAACAUGCAUGAAAGAGUUUUAGAGAGAAGCUCCUGUUGAUGAAGAAAAUGAAGAUGCCAGAAAGGGAAUAUUUGGAAAAGUUACGGUAAUAUGAGUUUUUAACAAAAUCAAGUGCAAUUUUAUUCAUAACACUGUGUAUGAAAGAUUUUCUAUUUUAAAUGCCAUUGACCUGUAGGUAGCAGCUGCCUAGAGCUAACACUUGCUGCUGUGGCACAUCUCAUUGCCGGCAAUGUGGUGGAUGCCUGGAAAAACGAUUUGCCCCUACCUUUCAUGUGUUGCAUGAUAUAAUUUAAAAAAAUAUCCCAACAAAUAAAACAACAAAAGCAAACAUCACCAGAACCACUCCUGCAGUGCUCCACAAGUGCUUGACUACAUGUUAAGCAGACAUUAACUGGAUGUUUCAGCAGAACUCUUCUCCCUUUCUGUGUAACAUCUCCCACCAAGAAGUUGGCACUUUUCUAUGAGAAGAUGGUGAGCACUGCCUGCCUUACUUGAAAGAGGAUUUAUGGGGAGUCCACAGUGCUGGGAUAGUUCUGUUCCUGGUGUCUGUUUAGAAUUCCUUCCUCUGUAAGUGAUUUGAUGCUGGGCUUUCCUGUCCCAGCUGGUCCCUGUGGCCAAGAGGUACUCUGAGAUCACUGUGUUUCAGUCAAAGUUGCAGGUUUCUGUUCUAUGUAAUUGCAUUUUGUUUCUCCUUUUUAAAUGAAGAAGAGCUUUUGGACAAUGUUCCGGUUUUUGCUUGGUUGCAACAGCUGAAGUUGCAAUAACUUCCUCAUGGAAACCUGUUGUGGACUGUGUGACAAAAGCUCUAAUUUGGGUUCAUAACCUUUAGAACUGAUGAUUAGGAGGCAAGCAGCAGCUGGAUAUCUAGGAAGCAGAUGUGGCUGCUGCUGGAACGGCAUAGAGCAUAGAGCAGGUUUUCAGGUUCUUCUCAUAGCUAUGUCAGCAGAAGUGAACACGUGCCUGUACUUCAUUCAUUCCACUGUAAGGUCUGGUAGCUUAGCUGUAGCUCCUCUUUGUCAGCAAUUCAAGCUGAACAUGGCACUUUACAGUAGCUGAGGCACAAGGACACAGCAUCUUCUGCUAGCUGUGUUGUGGGAAGGGCACAUGGGCAGAGAAAUAAAGGUGUGGCUAUAGCACCUCACUGCUUCUGCAAGAGUUGCUGGAGCUCUUCUGCCAUCCUCUUCAGGCCACAGAUAGAAUCUUUAAUUAGAAGACACUUCUAAUUUGCUAUGCUUAAUUGAUAUAGAUGAAAAAAAUAUAACCUCCAUGUCCUUUUGGGGAGAGGAAAUUUUUGUGAAAUAAAGCUACACAAAGCUUGCUAUUUAAUUUUUUUUUGUUUUGUUUUCAUUUUUAAAGAAAUCCUAUUGGUUUGGAUUGUUUGGGUUUUUUGAAACAAAUAGAUAAAAAUGUUCUCUACUGGAAGCACAAAAGUUUGUAUGUACUAUUUAAUAAAGGCUAGGCAAAGAGUAGAAAGGCUAA
Agelaius phoeniceus (red-winged blackbird) is the source of this 3868-nucleotide non-coding RNA. The record is from RefSeq and is a predicted model, not a curated record. Lineage: Eukaryota; Metazoa; Chordata; Aves; Passeriformes; Icteridae.